UUGGGUUGUGAACCUUCCUGCUGAUCUUUAAAGAGUCCAAGAAUUUUUGUACGGCAAUGGCCCUUGGAGCAAUCAAGUACUGAUGCCUCAGGGGGAUCGUAGGGGCCCAAUAUAUCCAGUAAUUUCCUCCAAGGUCGGCGUGAGUUCGAAAUCCGAGAAAUGGAAUACAUUGUGAGUCAGGUCCUAGAAUGUGAUUAAUGCCUUUAUGAUGUCUCCCAUUUGGUUAAUCUUUAAUAGACCGGUAAGUCCUCCCAAAUGCAUGUUGAUCCUAUUUUGUCCGGCUUCACCAAGGUCGUUCCACCACAUGUGUAGCUCCCAGGAAAUUUUGUUCAUGAAUGUUAUUGGCAAAUGCUGAUUUGUGCUCAUUCUGCACAUUUAUUAGGGCGAUUGAAUAGAAAAUCAAGAUUUAUUGGACUCAAAAAUUGAUUUUCAAAUGUUCGCUUCAAAGAUUAAAUCCCGGCAUUUCAAGCAGGACCUUUCAGCACUUCCGGAGGAAGAUUUUAAGGCUGAGCCUGCUACUGGCCUAAAAAUAACCCAUGGCGGCUGUUCUUGCAAAAACCUCCCUUCCAGCACCCUUUUUGAGGCACUCGACUAUUUUGACAAGGCUGCUUUAUUUAUUAGUCGCAAACAAAACCUGAUUCUUUUGGUAAAAAUGAAGUUGGGCCCGAUGGGGGUUGCCUACGUAUCUCACACCCUGUGAGAAUCAAGCUGGCGUUGUUCGGGCAAAUAAAACGAACUAUUCUUUUGAAAAAUAUAUUCUUUUUCCCUUUUUUUUACAUUGGCGAGUAAAUAAGCUAUUUUUAAAACAAACUAUUUUGAAACAAGACUCUUUUUUCCUUUUUUUUAAUUACUUCAUAGGCAAAUAAAUAAGCUAUUUUUAAAACAAACUAUUCUUACAAACAAGACUAUUUUUUUUAUCUUUUUGAUUGGCAAAUAAACAAACUAUUUUUGAAGAUAAACCCUUUUCUCCUUUCUCUUUUUUUUUUCAUUUUUUCCAAAAAUUCGGCAGAAUUUCAACACUAUUUGGACACAUGUUUUUUUCAAAACAGACGGUUAACUCUCUUUACCCUUAUACUUCCACUUCUUUUCUCAACCUUUUCCCAAUAUUCAUAAGCCGGCCAGCAUGCUAUUCCGGAAUAAAUGCAUGUAGCAUGCAAAAUGUAUCAGGAUGGUCCAUCAUUUUGGGUACACAUGUCCUAGACGGACCCAACCCCUGUUUUGAGUCCCCUAAGUCAAAUGCGUGAUGUAGGUAAGUGUUCCUAAUAGGGAUCCGCCAUGAGGUUGACUUAUUCUAGGUUCAAAACCUUGGUAUAUGUUGUAGACUAGCGGACAACUCGAGUCGAGGAUGGGGAUACGUACCAGGAACCGAAAGUCCAUCCGGCUUAGUAACUUGUCCGAGCCACUUUCUUAUUUUAAGGUAUGACGCUAAUAGAAUUGGGAGUCUCGACCAGCGAGCACAUCCCCCAAGAGAGAAGAGAUGGGAUUCGUAGUAGUUUAUAUCAGUUCAGAUAAUAUCAAAGUGGUAAAAGGCAACAUUUAGCAUAUCCAUCCCAAACAUGUAAUAAAUAAGAUAAUAAAUAAAGCCAAAUACAACAAUUAUUAUGAGCUCAAACUCUUGAACCCUGAACCAGAGAUUCUAGGUUUGAAUCCCCAGCAGAGUCUCCAGAGCGGUCACACCUCCUUUUUCAUUACUACAACCCGGAUAGGGUAUAAUAAGGUAGUUUUUCCAAUUUAAGGACAAUCAAAACGGGAUCUAAUUAUUUAAGUCAUUUUCAGCGUCGCCACUUGGGAGAUUUAUGGUGUCCGAAGUCACUAGUUUAGAAUCUUGAAUCGAGGAAAAGAAUGACUCUGUUUAACAAUCCGCGAACCAGAAAUCUGAGUAAGGAAUUAUGUUAACUUGGGAGAAGGUAUUGGGCAUUCCCGAGUUCCAUGGUUCUAGCACGGUCGCUUAACUAUCAUAUUUGGCUUAAAUUAUAUGAUUUUAAACAAUUUAUGAACCUGUAUGCAAUUUUUAAUUUUUAGCCACUUUUAUUAUUUGUUUUAAAGAGAAUUACAGCAUCGUCAAAACAUGCCUCGAACCACGUCACAUAAAUGCACCCGUCGUUUUUGAUAUAUUUCAACUUCGUUGGGAUUUGGAUUUGGGUCACAUAAAUGCGCACCCGGAUUUAGGAAAGUAAGUUAUUAAAAUGCGUCUAAAAUGACUAACGUGUUAUUAUCAUUGCGGGAAGCCAUGAAGUUCUCUAAAGGGCAUGUCUUGAAUUUCUAAGUAUCAAUUUAAGAUUAAAUUGAGGGCCAUGUAAUUGUUAUUUUGUUCGGCAAAACGCGCCUUAAUUUCAUUUCUGCAUAUUGCACUCAACUUAUAGAAAACUAUGGAUGUUCAGAAGCUAUCUUCAAAAAUACUCAUUAUUUCAAUUGCAAGGCUAGGCUACUACGAUUUGUAUUAGAUGAAUAAAUAAGGAUCCCUCCAUUUCACUAUCAGUUGCAGCUGAUGUGACUCACUUAAUUUGAAGGGCAACAAAUAAGUUAAUAAGUGGUGGUAUUAUAAACUUAGCAUAAGCCUUCUUAUUAUGAGAAAUAGUAAAGUUAUUUUUGUAUCCAUAUACUUAUUCAACAGCAAAACGGGAUUAACUAAGGUAAAUGGACAUAUCCAAUAAUAUAUAUAUUCUCAACCAAAAACUAAGUUGGUCGUUGGAUUACUUAGCACAAGUAUUGGGUUAAAUUACUAAAUGAAAUACGAAUGCAGCCAUUGGUAUAAGAAAAUGCAUCACACUUAAUACUUGCACUGGUUACACUAGUGAAGCAAAAUAGCCCUGAUCUGGUCCUCUAACAAGAUUGCAUGCAAACUUAAAGGCUUCAAAGUUAAUCAUAAUUACAUGAAACUAAAACAUGAGACAAUACAAGCUAAGGACACAUGAUCUGAUACACAAAUCAUUAGCCUGAGUACUAAUUAUCACAAACCAUAUAUAAAAGCUAAUUUGAAUGAAAGAGUAACGGUGAAAACAAAUAACGAAUGCAAAACAAGGGAACAUGGAGAACUUUCAUGCUUCAGCUCUUAUUUCUACUUCCAAUGGAGGAAUACAUAUGCCUAAUUGUGAACACGUACCUGGAGAGCAAGGAAAUUGAGAUUUGAGAAGAGUCAACAACAGUUGUGGGAAUCAACGACAACAACUCAAGCUCCAAACCCAAUUUCAUGCUUGAAACCCGAGAUGUAUCACCAAAUCAAGCUUAUAAAACCAAUAUCGAGAAAAUUGAAUUUCAAUCCAUUUAAAAAAAUCCCAAGAACUAACAAAUGGCUUCAGUAAGUCCAAAACCUCACGGUUCAAAGCAAAGACUCGAUGGAGCAAGAAAUUUGAUUUUUUAGCCUAUUUCAAUUUUUUUGGAUUUCUCUUUUUAACUUUUGGAAUCUGAACUCUAUAUUUUAACAAUUUUUUCCUUUUCUUGCAAGGCAAGUAUGGGGUGCCUUUAUAGGCAAAGGAUUAUGGCACCUUAUCUUAACCAGUCAUUUUCUACUUUACCCCUCUUGAACAAAACAAUUUUACCUUCCUACCCUUAUUAAGAAUCUGAAAAUCAUGCUUCUUAACAUACUCACACUUAUCUUAUCUCUGGAAACUUCUACCCAACAGAAAUGAUUCCCUCCCCUACCUAGAAUUCCUGCAUUGCCCUUAGCCUGGUUGGUUAUUGCAAUCCUUACCCGACCCCUAAGACCCAUCAAGUUCCCUUUGAUGCAAUUAAGACCCUAGAGUUCCCACUAAUUAACAAACAAACAAACAAAUAUGUUUUAGAAUUGAAGGAGCAAGGAAGAUCAAACAAACCAAUAUUGAAUCGCCUUAAACUUACAACUAGACUUGCAUCUACUGCCCAAAGACCUUGGAAUUGCAAUGAAACACUCCGGAACCCUUGAAUCUAUUUAGAAACUAGUACGCAUGGACUGGAUUUACUAGACAUAAUAGAUAAUAUCUCUAACCCUAACAUGCCUCCAAUUCCGUUUUCUUAAUGAACAAAUAACUACACAAAAUCAAUUCUUAAACCUAUGAGAAAUAAAACUUAGAAAGAAGAAAACCAAAAAAAAGAGAAAGAAAUAGAACAACAAACAACUUAAUGGCUAAAUACAAUCCAAAUUUUUAUAGAAAUGCAAAACAACCAAAAAUGAUGAGAAAGAAAAGAGAAUUACCAGGAACAAAACUCUUCGACACUGGAAUCUCUUACUCAGAUUGUCAAACCAAAGGGUGAACGCGAACUACCAUUAAUCGCCUGUUCUUAAUAAGAACAAAUCGACUAACAGAUGUUUGAGUUCACACAAGCAUAAAAUCCAAAAGAUGCAAAAGGGAAAGCAUGAACUAGGGCUUCAUAUCUUAGAUCCAAAAUUUGAAGCGUUUAGGAGUGAUUCGAGGGAAAUUAGAUAUGUAUUGGGCAUGGUAGGGUCAAGGCGGUUCCAUGGUGUUAAUUUGGGACUGGUUGGGUAAAGUAGGGUUUUGGGGCCCUAUUUCACUCUAAAAUUCGAAGAGCAUCGGGGUGAUUAAGAGAAAAUGGGUAGAGGAUUCAGGCUGGGGAAGGUGAGAGGAGUCCAUGGUGUAAAAUUUGGGGUAUUUGGUUGUCGGCCGCUCCCGUGAGCGGCGGAGCUGCCAAACUUUUGAGCUUCAUUCGACAAGGGUGGGAAAUAUUUGAAAGAAACAGAUGGUGGGGUUGGAAAGAGGAGUUUGAGGAGGUGAUGCGGUGUAAUUUUGGGUGGCAUUGUAGACUUGCCGGCGGCGGCGGCGAUUUUCGGCCAGCAGCGAACGACGGAGGGUGGUGGGGGACGGCGGCGUUACAUCAGAAAUAUUAGGGUUGUGUGAGAUCGUGAAUGUGGGAAGGGGCGUUAAGACAGUUAAAUAUUCCAUCAUCCUCAAUUCCAGACCAUUCGAUCAUCUGAGAUCAACGGUCCAGAUGAGAUAUGCCUAAGACGGGGGCGUUUGGUGACUAAGUGGCGUCGUUUAGGAAUAAGGGUGAUGGACCGCGUGCGGGGCGAGAUUGGGCCAAUUGGGGCAUGUAUUUUGGUGUAUUGGGUUGGGGUUUUUAAUAAACUGGCCUAGAAUAGGUUUAGCACAAGACCACCUAACUUAUAAAAAUCCUAAAUAAUAAAAAAAUAUGAAUCCAUAAUUGACCUAUAAAAAUCCUAAUUAAUCCUACAUAAUCAUUAUCUAAAUAAAAAUCACCUAAAGAAAACAAAAGUUAAAAUUAGAAGUACAAAUUAAAACUAUUUUUUGAUUUUUUUCAUUUUGUAAAAUAACUAAUUACUAAUUAAUCAUUAAAAAUGUAAGGUUAAAUCCUAAAAUGCAAAUGCCCAUAUUUUUUGUUUUUUCAUUUACUUAAUGCACAUAAAAAUACAAACACUUAGCAGAAAAUGCCACUAAUAUCAACAACAUAAAAAAUAAUUAAAAAUAGUGAAAAGAAAUUAUUUUGUUUGGAAUUAUGGGAGUAAUUUAUAUAGAAAAAACCACAUCCUCACAGCAGGAACCUAUCGUACUAAGGCCCUAGCGAAGCACCUCCCAUUGGGCCAUCGAGACAACGCCCCCGAAUCCGCUUCAAGCUUCGAGACCUCGAAAAACAUUAUCAAAUGGUUGCGCAUGAUUAACGAAGGGUCGUGAUAUCCACGCUCAACCGCAUAUCACGACGCGUAUCUUGGUCAGUAUCAGCAACAGACCAGUCAUUAGAAAAAAGGAAGAUUUUUACCUUUAUUAGAAUUGUACAUAGGGGAAAACUCCCCUACUACAUAAAAAGGAAGUUUAUCAUUCAAUAGGGACACUGUAACACGUAUACCAAGGCAAUAUAUAUUUUAUUUCUCUGCUUCUAAAAGUUAUUUAAAGUCCUUAUUUUUGCUCAUAGUUCUUCAUAUGUAUUUGGCUCCGAACCGAAGGUAGGCUAAUUGCUAUGCUCAAAGCCGAGUUUGGACUCAAUAGUACUACUGGUUUGGCUAUUUAUUCUAUCUUUAAUUUUCUCUUUUAACAUUAUUGAACAAUUGUAUUAGAUUAAUCUAUAUAUCCUUAAACACGCGUAUAAAUUCAACUGUUAUCUAUUUUUUAAGGGUAAACAGUUUGGCGUGCACCAUGGGGAUAAGGAUAAUAGUGAUGGUUUGAUACAAAUUUCCAUAACACACUCAGUUUUACGCUUGUUCUUUGAGAUUUUAAUUUCAAGUGGAUCUAAAAAUGUCAAACUCUCAGUUUGUUUCCUUGAAUGCUGAUGCUGAGUUUGGCCAUCAUGGCAAAAACAACAAUAUAGUACGUAGCAAUGAGGUCCACCAUGCUGAUCCCAACGGAGUCCCGAUACCAGCCGAUGCAAACUCACAUAUGGCCAUCUACACCAACCUGCCGAUCAACAAUAAGAUCAACGUUUAUGGAGGAGACCGAUCAACGACUCGAGGUAAGCCCCAAGGUGAAGGCGACGAGAUCAAUCUGCGGAUGAUCUUUGAAAUGUUACAGGCCUAACAGGCAGUGAUUGCAUAGCUGUAGAAUCAAAGUCACGCCCCAAUAGAGUUAAGCCCGUACCUUCCCGAAAAAACACCCGAAGAAGUGAGCAAGUUGCAGAAAGGCUGGGUGAAGCUGAGCUUGGGACCAAUCUUGAAAUAAUAAAUAUGCUUGAGCAACUUACAAAGCGAGUGGAAUAGAGGGAUAAGAAAAUCGAGGCCAACGAAACAAAAACGGAGACCUAUGACUCUAGAGUCAAUCAAAUUUGAAGAGAAUCCCCGAUAUUGAAAGGUAUAGACUCCAAGACAUUUGUCCAAAAGCUUUUCCCUCCGAACGCAGCAUCGAAGCCUAUCACGAAGAAGUUCUAUAUGUCCUAUAUUCCAAAGUAUAAUGGAACCACGAAUCCAAAUGAGUACGUGACCUCCUACACGUGUGCCAUCAAGGGAAACGACUUAGAAGAUGAUGAGAUCAAGUUGGUUUUGCUAAAAAGCUGGAGAAACCCUGUUAAAAAAUAGCAAUGAUAUGGUAUCACAACUUACCACCAAAUUCUAUUGAUUCAUUUGCUAUACAUACAUAUGACUUUGUAAAAGCGCAUGUCGGGGCCAUCAAUGUUGAGACCAAAAAAUUGGAUAUUUUCAAGGUAAAACAAAGAGACAACGAAAUACUCAUGGAUUUUGCAUUAAGGUUUCAAACGUUAUAGAUGGACUUACCCUCGAUUGUGGAUGAUUAGGUCGUGCAAGCGUUCACUUAUGGAUUUUAACCCCUAAAGAUCCUUGGGUUCGCUGCAAUAAAAAUAAAGUUUGAUAAAGUGUCCGGCAGUAACUUGAGCCGACGUCCAUAAUAGGUACCAAUGAAAUAUCAGAGUCGAGGAUGGUUAUCUCGGGGGCCCAUCUGGUACAUUUAUCCCAUCAGAACUAAUGACAGGUCUAAUAGAGUCGAUGAAUCAAGAACGUAAAAAGAUUGAUAUCAAUCGUAUAUCGGAGAAUAGAGAGGUGACAGGUCUGUGCGUAACCCUGUAAGGAACGAAAAUAAGAACAAUUGAGGCCACGGUAUUUGGAGAUUCAUGACCACUCGAUGCCAACACCGUACCUGCAUCGGGCACAUCAAGGAUACCAAAUGGCCUCGACCAAUGCAGUCUGACCCUACCUGGAGAGACCCUAACUUGAUGUGCAAGUAUCAUGGAACUCAUGGCUAUAGAUUCGCUGACUGCCGACAGUUAAGAGGAUGCGGCUCGGUUAUUCAAUAACGGGCGUCUUUGGAAAAUUCUAUGUGAUCGAGUCGAAAAUCACUUCAGGAAUAGGGAUUCCAACAAACAGGCCGAAUAUGAAGAACCUCAGCAUGUCAUCAACAUGAUCAAUGGAGGAGUCAAUGUUCCCUAGGGACCAAUGCUAAAUCGCACUAAGGUGUCCAUCACAAGAGGAAAAACAAACCCGAGAUUGUAUCCAAGAGGGAAUCAUUUCGUUCAAUGAUAAGGACGUCAAAGGCAUCAUACAAUCGCAUAAUGAUGAACUGGUGAUAUCUAUAAUUAUAAAAGAAUCUCAAGUUAAAUGUGUGUUGAUUUAUCUAGGUAGCACAACCAACAUCAUCAGAUCGAGAGUCGUAGCAGUUGGGUUUACAAGACCGUCUAGUGCCGAUAGUCCGAGUGUUGAACGGAUUUAACAUGGAAUGUGAAACUACUAAAGCAAAAAUAAUCCUAAUGGUGAACAACGUCGGGAUCAUUCAAGAAAAUAAAUUCUAUAUGAUCGAAGGGGAUAUAAGAAAUAAUGCUCUAUUCGGAAGACCAUGGGUUCACAAUAUGAGUGUGGUACCUUCGACCGUGCACCAGACAUUAAAGUUCCUACUCCGGGAGGGAUCAAGACAGUGUACGUAGAGCAGCCGAUUGCAAAGAAAAUGAUCAAAAUCGAUGAAGUAAUCCCAGUAACCACCAUUUUGAUGUUAAAAAGUAGGGAGUCGACAAAAAAGGCCAAAGUAAAAUAACAAUCACUGAUGCCGGUCCCGGUCGGACUAGAGUGAUAAGAAGUCGAUGAGGAAGAUGAUUAGAGAGUUCCUAGAUUGUUCAUAGAUUGUGAUGGUGCCGAUGCCGAUGCCACCAAAUCUACGGUCAAAGAACUGGAGAAAGUUAUAUUGACCGAACACCUGCCGGAUCGAAAUAUAUACCUAGGCACAAGGUUAACCCCCUAGCUUAGGAAAAAACUUAUUAGUUUUCUUAAUACUAACAUAACUUGUUUUUCAUGGUACCAUCUUGAUAUGACAUGGAUCCCACUAAAGAUAACCACUCAUAAAUUAAGCUUGGAUCCAAAGUUCCACCCGGUCAAACAGAAUAGGAGACCUCGAAGUCAAGCAUGCAUUCAUCAAUGAUGAGGUAUCUAAACUUAUUAAAAUAGGUUGCAUUCAGAAAGUUAAAUACCUGUUCUUGUUGGCUAAUGUAGUGGUGGUACCUAAAGGGAAAUAAAUUAAGAAUGUGCGUAGAUUACAAAGACUUGAACAAGGCCGUAUCUAAGGACUCUUUUUCUUUGCCUAACAUAAAUCGUAUGAUCGAUGUGACAACCGUGCACGAGAUACUCAGCUUUAUUGACUCCAAUUCUGGGUACAACCAAAACCGGAUGGACCGGAUGACCAAGAAAAAAAUUCCUUUAUCACUAAAUUUGGCACCUAUUUUAUAAUAUAAUAUCGUUCGGGCUAAAGAACGUUGGUGCCACUUAUCAACGCCUAGUAAAUAGGAUGUUCGAAGAACAGAUAGGAAAAUCAAUCGAGGUUUAUAUUGACAACAUGUUAGUUAAAUCCCUGUUUGUUGAGGACCAUUUGAAACAUUUUUAGGAAACCUUUGACAUAUUGAAGAGAUACAGUUAAGGGAUCGAGAUCAAUCCCAAUGAAAUAAAGGCUAUACAAGACAUCACUUUGGUGGAUAGAGUCAAGGUCGUUCAGAGGCUAACCGGGUGCAUUGCCGCCUUGUGCCGGUUCAUAUUGAGGUCCUCAGAUAAAAGUCAUCAAUUCUUCUCACUGCUGAAGAAGAAGAAGAAGAAGAAGAAUAACUUUUCUUGAACUACGGAGUACCAACUAGCUUUGGAAGAACUUAAGGGGUUUCUUUUAAGUCCACCCCCUUUUUCAUACUCCGAAGGCGGAUGAGCAAUUGUACCUUCACUUGGAGGGAUUCAAUGUGGCGGUGAGUGGAGUCUUAGCUGAGAAAAUGAAGGUACACAAUUUCCUAUUUAUUGUGUUAGUAGAACUCUAGCUGAGACCGAAUCAAUGUAUUCUCACCUUGAAUAAUUGGCAUUCUCUUUGAUAUGCACCUCCAGAAAGUUGAAAUCAUACUUUUAGUGCCACUCCCUAUGUGUCAUAACCUCAUACCCACUAAGGAACAUUAUACACAAACCCGAGCUCUCGAGUGUGUUGGCUAAAUGGGCCAUAAAAUUUAGCGGGUACUAUAUCGAGUAUCGGCCUCGAACCACCAUUAAAUCAUAAAUCUUGGCAGACUUCUUCAACGACUUUAUGCCUGCCUUAAUACCCAAAGUAAAAAAAGGAAUUUUUGUUAACCUUAGGGGCUUCCUCGAGAAUUUGGACCCUUUUUACGGAUGGUGCUUCGAACGCAAAGGGUCCAGACUGAGCAUCCUGUUGAAAAUGCCUAUGGUAACGUAGUUAGGUAGUCUAUUAGAACUGUGAAAUUAACAAACAACAAGGCCGAGUACGAAGCCAUGAUUGCAGGUCUAGAAUUGGCUAAAAGUCUGGAGCCGAGAUGGUCGAAGCUAAGUGCAAUUCCCUCCUUAUGGUAAAUUAAGUCAAUGGGAUGUUCGAAGUAAAAGCGGGAAUGAAUGCAAAGGUUAAUACACCCUAAAACAUGUUCCUCGAGAUCAAAAUAGCGAGGCUAAUGCUCUAGCUAACUUGGGGUCAUCACUUAAUUUAUGAAUUGAAGAUAAAUUCAAUUCGGGAAUAGUCGUACAAAUCAUGAAAGUAUAAGAAGGCCAUGCUGAAAUAAACUCAACAAUUUUAACGGAUUGGAGGAAAAAAUACAUAGAUAAUUUGAAGACUCAAAAUUUGCCCUCGGAUCCUAUAGAAUCAAGAGCUCUGUAUACGAAGGUAGCCCGAUUUAGCAUGUAUGAAGGGAAUAUUUUUGAAGAACAUUCGACGGUCUCUUUCCAUAUGAUUGGGGCUGGGAGAUACCGAAUAUGUCUUGAGAGAACUUCACAAAGGCACCUGUAGAAACCAUUCGGGGGUAGAAUCUUUGGUUUGAAAGAUAAUCAAGGCUGGCUAUUACUGGAUCGACAUGGAGAAAGAUGCGAAGGAAUUUGUACGAAGAUGCGAUGGUUGUCAAAGACACGCACCGAUGAUCCUUAAAGCGGGAGAGCUACUACGUAUGAUCUUUGAUUCUUGGUUUUGAUGUUAUUUAUGGUCUAUAUAUCUUUAAAUAAGUUUAAAUUAAGUAAUGGAAUUAUCAGUUUGAUUAGAUAGGGGGCCUGAGGGGCUCAAGUAUGUUUCAAGAUGGUUCCAAACCAUCUUAGAAUGGUUUGAUGAUGCUAGUUCAUAUGUGCCACACCUGCAGAGUAUAGUGCGCAGGUGUGAGGUCACACAUGUUAUGUUAUAGUCGCAUCAACGAAUGGGCUAGUGCUGGUGAUUGACUGCACCUAUAGUUGGACGUGUACAUGUAUGUAUGUCGUAUCCGUGAAAUUGAUAGCGUGCCUCCGAAGGCCAUGCCUGGUGAUAUAGCUCACAAAAAUGGAGAUUGAGAGCUCCUGCACUCUAUGCGCCUGAGGACUUAUGUCGCUUCAGCAAUGGUGUAGAUGAGCAAAUAUUUACGCAUAUGCAGAGAAGGAGUCUGUGCAGAUAGCUCGUAAAUGCAAGGCUUGGAUUGCAAAAUCGAGGUUGACUCAUUUUUCACCAUUUUUAGAUUUGGAGCUCGGGAAGAAGUGAUUUUUAUUAUUAUUAAGGGUAAGUAAUUUUUACCUAGAUUUAAUUUUAUAUGUUGAUUCUUCGUAGAUUUAUACACUAAAACCAUGGAAUUUCAAGAGAAAUUUGGGAUUUUGUAUACAAAUUAAGAGGAUGUAUUUUGGGGAUUUGAGGGCUGAUGGACCCGAUUUAGAAUCUAAUUACAUACUCAGACUCAUGAGGUUAUGGGUAAUCAAGAUUUAUCCAUUGACUUUGAUUUUGACAAUUUGGGCCUGAUUUACUUUGUUGAUUUUUUGGGAUUUAAUUAAAGAUUGAAGCUUUAUUACUUCAGAUUAAUUUUUAUAGCAUUAUUUAACUCCUUUGAAUAAUAUUUGUUAGGUUCAAGUUAUUUGGAGAUGAAUUUGAAAGAAAAGGAGAUUGUUAUUGAUUGAAGCUUACCAGUCGAAGGUAAUUCUCCUGUCCUCCUUGCCAGAGGAAAUUCUCUAUAUAGGUGAUUCAUUUGCUGUCUAUUGCUUGAUUUAGGUGUUACGUAUAUGUGAUGUGACAAGCCUAUAUGCAUAGCUAAGUUAUGACCUUAACGAGACAAAGUUAGGCUUAUGAUAUGCAUUAUUUGGACUUAUGAAUUGUUUAUUCAUGUUUCUUUGAUUCUAUGACUACACCAUAAAUCUUAAUCAUGAUUAGAAGCCAUGCUAUGAUUACCACUUUUUAAUUUUGACAUGACGGGCUUCUUUGACCAUUUUGAGCUUUCUAAUUUAACCACACUCAUACAAUCGUCUUUCCUGAUUUAUAAUCUUUUGGUUAUAUGCUUAUUUUUCUCUUAUUAAUAUCAUGAUCGGACUUAAGAAUGUUAAAUAAAUAUAUUAAAUUAUUAUUAGAGUUUAAAUACAUGAUUAUCCAUACACAUCUUUUAUUCAUGUAAAUAUCAUAUGCAUUUUUAUUAUUCUAUCAUGCAUUCUAUCAUGUUGCGUCUUUACUAUAUCAUUUCAUAUGCAUAUUCCUGAGUUGGAAAGUAAAUAAUGAAAAAUGUUGAGAAUUUUUCCACCAAGGAUAUUGAUUAUGGAUGACAUUAUAAUUGGAUUGAGUUGCACGCUGCAAUGGCAUUAUGAGUCGAUCGGAUUGUACAACGCAACGAUACUAUGAUUAAAUCAAGUUGUAUGUUGCAAUAUUAUUAUUAGUGGAUAGUAUUGUGCACCAUAAUAACAAUUGGAUAUAAAUUUAUUCCUCCGGAGUUAGGUGAUUAUCCAUGUUGCUUUUGGCCUUGUGAGUAUAGGCACGUAGGUUAGUGCUGGUUUAUACUCUUGGCUAGUAUCAUGUAUAUGAAAUUGUGCAGUAAUGUAUUGAUAUUAGAUUACGAGCAUGUAUUUGCAACCUAUACUCAUACAGUCGGUCUUACAUAUAUAAAUAUCGACUCAUUCAUGUCAUGAUUAUAAAAUGUAUUGAGAUAACUAAUAUUAUAUUUUAUCUCCUUGUCUGAAAAAAAUAUCUGAAUUUCAGAAAUUUUUGUGCCUCUACUAUUGGACUCGAUUGAUAAUAUCAUGCUUUAGCCCAUGUUCUAAUUAUGCUUUUAUUUUCAUUUUGGACUGACAACAAGUGUCUGUGUCGGCCCUCGUCGCUACUUCUUCAAGGCUAUACUUGAUAAUUUCUGAGCAUCUUAAUUUUAUAUUCAUACUACACUUUGCACCUUUUGUGUAGGUUUCGAAGCUGGUACUUGUGGUACCCAUCGAGCUAAGUAAAAGCAUAUCAAGAGACUUUGACUGCUUAUUUGAUCUGAUCCGCAACACAUAGAUUCCCCCUUCCUUCCUUAUCUAUAUCUGUCUAUGUAUUUUUAUUUUCAGACAAAUAUUGUUGUUCAGUUGAGACUAUCUAUUCUUGUUAGAUGCUCAUGAUGAUAUUAUCACACCAGGCCUUAGAAAAGUAUAGGCCCUAUUUUUGAUUUAUGUAAUCAUGUUGAUAUUUGAAACUAAUUUCACUUUAUUAUUUAUAUCAUAACUUAGUUAAUGACUUAAUAAUUGAAUUAUAUUAUUGUUGAAUAUUGGCUUGCGUAGUAAGUGGGUGAAGAAUCAUCAUAAUUAUUGGUGAAAUGUUGAGUCGUGACAUUAGAAUUGUCUAGUGCUACUCCUUAGGUGGACUACAAUAGUUAAAUGUUGCAUGCAUCCUUUGUGAGUUCAAAAAACUAAAUUCAUAAUAAGGUUUGCGUGUGCAUAGGAUCAUAUUGAGCUUUCUUAUAACAAUGACUCCACUUAACCACUAAGCUACACUAUAUUUUUAUGGCAAGCAGGUUCAUUUUUUCAUACAUGUAUGAUUUCAUCUAUAACAUAUACAUGUAAAUAGUAAAAUUUUGCUAAAGCGGAUUUAGUUACCCUUAUUAUCCGAUGUAAGUUUGCCACUAGCUACUGCAAAGUAUCGUAAAAUACGUAAUGAAAAAUCUAAAGGUAAAAUAUCUUAGGGCUUAUAAAAUUGAUGAUCUAAGGAAUGACAUGCCUGCGCGGACAACACAGAUUCACAUUGCAUAAGUGUGUAUGGAAAAUGCACUUUAACCUUUUAAUUGGUACACUAGGUUUACACUUUUUUGGCAAAAUACAAUUCCUUAAUAAUUUUAACAACAACAACAAAAAAUCUAGUGAAAUUUUACAAAUAAAGUUUGGAAAAAGUAGUGUACGCAAGCCUUACUUCUACGUUGUGCAUGUAGAGAGAUUAUUUUUUGUAAACCUGCGGCUCAGCAUAGUCGUAGCCAUAAGCAAACGAAAUAAUGUAAUGAAAAAAAAGAUAUGAAAAAAGUAGUAACAACUGCAAGAUAAUAGCAAAAGUCAAGCAGAAGCAACAACAUAUAAAUAUAGACAACCAAGAAUAAGACUAAAUAAAAGUACUACUAGAACUACCAGUAAAAACAGACAGAAAGCUCUACUACCUAUUACCUUCAACCCUAAUUCUCGACCUUCAUAAUUUUCUAUCAAAGGUCAUGUUCUCAAUAAGCUAAAGAAGCUUCAUGACCUACCUAAUCACCUUUUCCCAAUACAUCUUUGGCUUCCAUAUACCUCUAGUUGUAUCUUCCAUAAUCAACCUCUCACAACUCUUUUCCGCGGUGUAGUAUAUCUCCUCUUGACAUGCCCGAACUAUCUCAGUCUCCAUUCUCGCAUCUUAUCCUCCAUAGGGACCAUCUCACCUUUUCGUAAAUAUCUAUGUUCCUGACUCUGUCUCUUCUAGUAUGCCCACACAUCCAUCUCAGUAUCCUAAUUUUUGCUAUCUUUAUCUUCUAGACACGAGAGUUCUUGAUUUGCUAAUAAUCCACUCCAAACAAUAUAGUCAGUCUAACCAUCACUAUAUAGAAUUUAUCGUUAAAUUUUUAUGGGUACAUUCUUGUCGCACAAAACAUUAUACAUAAUCCUAUAUUUAUUCACCCUGCUCGAAUACAGUGUGUGAUAUCAUCGUCAAUAUCCCCGUUAUCUUGGAUAACUAGCUCCAGGUACUUGAAACUUUUUCUCUUGGAGAUGACUUGUGUAUCAAGCAUCACUUUCACUUUAGCUUCCUGAGUAGUCAUCAUUGAACUUGGAUUCCAUAUAUUCGAUUUUAGUCCUUCUCAACUUAAAGUCAUUGGACUCUACGGUCUGUCUACAGGCCUCUAGCGUAACCUUAACACAUCCUUGUGUCUCGUCAAUAAGCCCGAUAUCAUGUACAAAUAACAUGCACAAUAGAAUCUCUCAUGGAUAUCUCGCGUCAAUACUUCCAUCGCCAAAGCGAAUAAGAAAUAGAUGUGAGCUGACCACUGGUGCAACUCCAUCACGACAAGGAACAAAACUUCUUCCGUUGUCCUUACCGGACUCUUAGCCCGUCAUACAUGAAUCGCCCUAAUGUGCGCUACAACAAUAUCUCUUAUCUCCAAGCACCUCCAUACGACUUCCCUUGGAACUUUGUUAUACGUUUUUUUUCCAGAUCAAUGAAUACCAUAUGCAAGUCCCUCUUUCUCUUCCUAUAUUGCUCCACCAACCUCCUUAUAAGAUGAGUGGAUUCAGUAGUUGAUUGCCUCGAUAUAAAGCCACAGUGAUUCUCGAAAAUAGAAACACAUCCUCACCCCCAUCUUUACCACCAUCUCCCAAAUUUUUGUAGUAUGACUUAGCAACUUGAUACUCCUAUAAUUAUCACAAUUUUGGAUAAUACCCUUAUUUUUGUAUACGGAAUCAUCGUACUCCAUCUCUAUUCAUCGGGCAUUAUAGAUCCUAAUGAUGACAUUAAACAGUUUAGUGAGCCACUGUAAGAAUGCCCUCCCUGUACUCUUCUAAAAAUUCACUUGGAUCUCGUCUGGCCAGUCGCUCUUCUCCUAUUUAUCUCACACAAUGCCUUCUCAACCUCCUCAGUCUUAAUUAAGGGUGUUAAACAGGCGGGUUAGCCCGGUUUCGGAUCGGUCCAGACCGGUUAAAACCGGACUCGGCCCGGUACAUAAGGGGCUGGAUUGGGCUGGGUUAGGGGGGUCAUGCGGGUUGCUCCGUUUAAGUUUUUAUCCUUUCCGAUCCAACCCGUUAAGUAAAUAGUGAUCGUGAACCGGUUAACCGGCCCGGUCCGGACCGGCAUAAUGGUAAAAUUUUUUUAAAAAAUAUUUUUUUAUAUGGUCGAGAUUUGACCGUUGCCAACGGGUGAAUUGUACAAUUUAUCCCAAUUUUGAUUUUUUCUUAAAAAAAUUAACCCGCCUUUCAAAAACUAUAAAUUACCCCCCCCNNNNNNNNNNNNNNNNNNNNNNNNNNNNNNNNNNNNNNNNNNNNNNNNNNNNNNNNNNNNNNNNNNNNNNNNNNNNNNNNNNNNNNNNNNNNNNNNNNNNNNNNNNNNNNNNNNNNNNNNNNNNNNNNNNNNNNNNNNNNNNNNNNNNNNNNNNNNNNNNNNNNNNNNNNNNNNNNNNNNNNNNNNNNNNNNNNNNNUUUAAUCGCAAUUCAAGUUAAAUCAUGCCUCGUACUUCUAGAGUGCGGCCAUAUGUUUGGCAACACUUUGAGCUAGUGAAAGAAAAUGAGGAAGAUCAGAAAGUAAAGUGCAAGAACUGUGGUCAAAUCUUAAAUCUUCGUUCAAGGUUUGGCACAAAUAGUUAAGGAGGCAUAUAAAGUAUUGUCUUGAGCGUCCUACGGAAAUUCGUAUUUAAGGUUUUAAGACAAUUUGUGUUAUUUAAAAAUUAUUAGACAUAUUUACGCUUAAUAUUUUGGUUUGUUAGAUUAAUUUGAAGUAUUAUUAAUUUAUUAUGCAUGAAAAUUUAGUUUUACUAUUCAUUUGUUAAAUUACUUUUUAAAUGCAAACUUUAAUUUGUAAUUUUGAAAUAAAUAUUACAAUUUAUAAGUGCAAUUUUUUCCAUCUUUCUUGUAUUCUUUAUAUUAAUACAAAGUAUUAAUAUAACGUACAAUAGUUAUACAAAAUAAAAAAAAUUAAAAAAUACACUAAACCCCGUCCGGCCCGGCCCCCUCAACCCGUAUUCAAUUUUUAGCCGAAUGAACUCGAACCCGUUAAACCCAAUAAGCCUCAACCCGUAACUGGUCAGAACCAUAACCCUUACGGGUCCAAAAGAUCCAACCCAGUCCGGUCCGAUCCACCCGUUUAACACCUUUGGUCUUAAUAUGGCUAUAAUAUCCAAAAUUAUGAGGAAUUUCACUGUGCUCCAAAUCACCAACACAAUGCUCCUUUUCCCUCUUCAUUUAAGAAUUUAUGGAUCCCUGGAAAUUUUCAAUUUGUUAAUACUAUUAAUCAUAAUUUUAAUUGUUGACUAGCCCAUUUGUGCUCAACCUAUAGCUAUCAAUCACACGUUUAGUCAUAGUUCGGAGAAGUUGAAAAUUUUAGCCUAUUUGAAUCGAUUCUGACAUCUCUAAAUGUGACCGCAGAUUGACAGGUAGUUGUGUCUAGUUCAUUUCAACUUUCAAAUGUGGACAGGGUUUAGCUAGAUUUGGAAGCAGUAUUCAUGAUCUUUUUUCUUAAUUUUGGUUAAAGUAUAAGUUUUGCAGUAAAUGGUCCUCGUCUAGUUUAGUUAAUUAUUAGUAAAUGACGUCCACUUUUACUUGAUUAACAGAAAUUUAGGAAAUAAAGAAAUUGCAGAUAACGGAUACAUUUGGAUGGAGGUGAGAGAGAUGGGUUGUGUUGGACCAAAACUCUGGUCCCCUUUCAACCAUGGACCACGGUCCAUCUAGGCUCGAUUUGUGUGAAUUUAAAUUGUAAGUAUUUUGUGACUUAUUUUAUUUGACUGCCUCCGUUUAACUUGUAUUUAAUUUUAAAAAAGAAAUUUAAUUAGUACUAUGUACAGAUAAAUUCAAGUUUUUUUCUCCUUUUUCUUCUUUUUCUUAGUUGUUGUGAAAGCGAAUAUAAUUUCAAGGGUAACCCCAAAUACAAAUGUCACAUAUAAGCCCACAUCAACUCCGGGCUGUCACAUCCAUUCCCUUCUAAGGCCCUACUAGGAUUGUAACAACUCAACCCAACUCAGAACAAAGAUGUUGAGUAGAAGCUCAACAGUUUGUACAAAUUUACUUAUGCCUCUUCUUUGGUCCCCAUUAGCAUGUGCUAAAUGGCCCCCGACUACACUUUUUACUGUUCCUAUGUUUUCCCUCAUCAAUUUUUUCUUUUGUAUCACAGAACUAUAACAAUAACAACAACCCAAUAUAAUCUCACUUAGUGAGGUCCGGGGAGGGUAGUGUGUCUGCAGAUCUUACCCCUACCCUGGGAUAGUAAGGCUGUUUCCAAAUAGACCUCCGACAUCCUCCCCUCCAAGAACUUCCCACCUUGCUCUUUGAGGACUCGAACUCACAACCUUUCAAUUGAAAGUAGGGUUUGCUUAAUUUGAUGUUAAAUUCAAAUAUAACCUGGUUAUCAAUUUUACGAGAUUGCAUUAUCCAAAUUUGUAAACCUAACAUAUUGAUUGGCUGAAUUUCCUUAUCAGCUUGGCCUUAUCUCGUCAUGCUGGUCAAUGAACUCCUCCCCCCUCCCCCCUCCCCCAUACCCACUAUGAGUUUGAUGGUUGUGGAGCUUGAUAAGAUAUGAUUUGAUUAAACAAUUAAUUUUGAACAAACCCUUUUUUGUUAAGUUUGUGGUAGAUAAACUGAUGUUCAAUUCUCAAUAUUCUUUCGUGAUUUGAUUAUAAUACAAUUUGAUUUGCAUCUAAUGUUCAUACCGUUUAAAAAAGAAGAUGAUUUACACCCUUUGGCACGAUUGGAUUGUUUCAAUCACUUACUUCGACAAGACUAACUAGUCCAAAUUAAGAGAAGACCGAUUGAAGUGUCCCAUGUCUGUCUACAGUGUUUGGGGUUAAAAUUUCAUUGAGGUUCUAAACGAUGCACACAUAAAAAAGUUUACUUAUACAUACAAUAUAAUUUUUCUCAAAGCGACACAAUCGAACUCCCUUGGUAAACAUAGCUCCGUCGCUGUCUGUCAACACAUCAAAGAUGCAUAUUUGCCUUGCAGUUUCGUUUAUAUUUAGCUAGAUUUACUGAACUAAUAUUCAGGGGGAAGGGGGGGAGACUAGCCUCAUUACUUCCCACUGGGCGAGAGGUGCACCUAACCCACCUACCCACUCAUCAAUCACGGUGUUCAGCUGACUUGCACUGAUAGACCCCUAUUGUAUUGGAAUUAGGCGCCCAUCUUUUUACUGUUGUCAAUGAAUCUCUUCCAUGUUCGAUUCUACUCUAUGUUAGAACAUUUCUGUGAAUGCUAUUCUGAUCUAAGUGGUCUUAUCUAAUUGAGUAGUGCGUUGGAUCUACACUUGGACAGCUUCAUCGAGACUUCACAUACGAACCAAGUCUUUCUGACGAGGCACCAGCUUUUUUGAUCCCUUUCCCUAAAGAGUACUUUCGUAUGCAUAACCUGUUCUUUCCUAUGGCUAAGCCGUGGAAUCCUAUGGACGUGGAAGACUAUAGAUAAGCAGUGGAAGUUAGAUCAGUUGCUUAGGAAGGUGCCUAUAGAAGUUCCCUGCCAUGCAUUUCCUGGACUCUGAUAGCCCUUGAUUCGAACCGUCAUUCUUUACUUCCGGGGUCAAUCAAUCGGUAGUCCUCCAAUUUAUUAUCGAAAGCCUGUUUAUAAGAAAUAGGUUAGGUGAUCGCUUAAAAGAAUGACACGUGGAACUUAAGGCGAGGUAUAGUUAUAAUCGAAGAAAAUCAUCCCAUUUGUCACUGGAAAGUAUAACACUCAUAAAGAUACAAUAAUUAAUCUCUGCUCGGUGGCAUUUAAUUGGCAAUAUUCUGCAGCAUUCAGUGUGCUGCAUGUUACAGAGAGCUUGUCAUUUAUGCUCACCGUUGUGCCUUCAUCAAUGACCCUCACAAUUAACAUUAAAAAAGGUCAUGAUUCGAGGACCUUGUUCCCUAGGUACAACUAUAAAUAGUGAGCUCUUAUCAUUUUAAAGAGAGGAAUUUAAUUAAAAAAACUUAUGCUAUAAUCUAUUCAAAGCUCUAUACCUUUUUAUCUUCUUAUUUCUUGGUUUCAUAGUUGUUGCUUCCGGAGGCCUCGUUUCCGGAAUUACUACUUCUAUUAUUUCGUCUUCAUAUCAAGGCUAAGUAUUAUGUAUUUCUUCAAUUCAUUUAUUAUUAUGUCUAGAAACCACGUAUAAAUUCAGUUGUACCGUUUUACGUGUAAAUAAUUUGGCGCUCAUCGUGUGCUACGACCCCAAGUUCCCUCCGUGGGAUGUCAUGAUGGCACCUUGUCUCUAAUACUAGGUAUCCUAACCAUAUGCUGAAACAUUAAAUAAAAGCAUAAAAUUUCAAAACUCCAACAAUUUCGUAAAUAAAAACUGAAAACUCAAUACGUACAACUCCCCAAAACCUGGUGAGAUAUAAGUCACAAAAUCAAAUACAGUGCUGAAUAAUCCUAUACAUUAUUGUCCAUAAAAUUAUAAUGAAAUAAGAAAGAACAAGAUAGAAGGGGAUUCCGAGGUCUACAGACAGGGGCAAGUGUACUUUGACGCCUACAAAUGCAACACAACGCACUAGUGACGUGACUGAUAAGAUGCACCUGUAUCUAUACAAAAUUAUAAUCAGAAGUAUAGUAUAAGUACACCUCAACGAUUCUCAGUAAGUGCCAAACCUAACCUCGGUAGAGUAGUGACGAGGUCAGGUCAAUGUCCUACUGUAGAUAAUAAGGAAAAAGAUUGAACAUAUAACGAUAUAAUGAUAAUGGCAGAAAAUGAAACAAUAAUGAAUUUACGGAAGAUCAAUAACACAAAAUCAAAGCAGUUAAUAUAACAUGGAAGGAAACAAGGAUUUACAUGUUAAUGAAACAAACAACCAAGACCAAUACUAAAACUAAAGAAAGAUCAACCAGGGCACUACUGUGGUAUCGCCUCAUAGUCACAAAUCAUAAAAGUAACUCACAGUCUUUUCUUAUAUCACCGCGAGAGUCUUUGAAUUUAGUUUUGAAAAUUAUUUUUUCAGAAGUAUCACCCCGCAAUUUAGCGCACCUUACCACACCGCAUGACUUCUACUCGUUCCCCUUCCAGCCAUGCAUAUGAAGACCACCUUAUCUAAGUG
RNAcentral lists this long non-coding RNA (20791 nucleotides) under Nicotiana benthamiana. RNAcentral describes it as "long non-coding RNA (NBEN_LNC022287)". The record is from RNAcentral. Lineage: Eukaryota; Viridiplantae; Streptophyta; Magnoliopsida; Solanales; Solanaceae.